AUUGAACGCUGGCGGCAGGCCUAACACAUGCAAGUCGAGCGGAUGAAGGGAGCUUGCUCCUGGAUUCAGCGGCGGACGGGUGAGUAAUGCCUAGGAAUCUGCCUGGUAGUGGGGGAUAACGUCCGGAAACGGGCGCUAAUACCGCAUACGUCCUGAGGGAGAAAGUGGGGGAUCUUCGGACCGCACGCUAUCAGAUGAGCCUAGGUCGGAUUAGCUAGUUGGUGGGGUAAAGGCCUACCAAGGCGACGAUCCGUAACUGGUCUGAGAGGAUGAUCAGUCACACUGGAACUGAGACACGGUCCAGACUCCUACGGGAGGCAGCAGUGGGGAAUAUUGGACAGAGGGCGAAAGCCUGAUCCAGCCAUGCCGCGUGUGUGAAGAAGGUCUUCGGAUUGUAAAGCACUUUAAGUUGGGAGGAAGGGCAGUAAGUUAAUACCUUGCUGUUUUGACGUUACCAACAGAAUAAGCACCGGCUAACUUCGUG
RNAcentral lists this ribosomal RNA (484 nucleotides) under uncultured bacterium. RNAcentral's name for it is "partial 16S ribosomal RNA". It matches the Rfam family "Bacterial small subunit ribosomal RNA", at positions 30 to 507 of the family's 1533-position model. The record is from RNAcentral.